GACAGAGGUGCCAAGCGUUAGGCGGAAUCACUGGGCUUAAAGCGUGUGUAGGCGGGUGCCUAAGUACCUUGUGAAAUCCCACGGCUCAACCGUGGAACUGCUGGGUAUACUGGGUGCCUUGGGUCAUCUAGGGGCUGCCGGAACAAAUGGUGGAGCGGUGAAAUGCGUAGAUAUCAUUUGGAACACCAACGGCGAAAGCAGGCAGCUGGGGAUGCACCGACGCUGAGACACGAAAGCCAGGGGAGCGAACGGG
This 253-nucleotide ribosomal RNA is filed under the name uncultured bacterium. Its description in RNAcentral is "partial 16S ribosomal RNA". It matches the Rfam family "Bacterial small subunit ribosomal RNA", at positions 524 to 776 of the family's 1533-position model. The record is from RNAcentral.